UAGCACCAUUUGCUGAAAUAAAUGACCAUGGCUUAGCUAGUUGCUACGUUGAGACUAGCGUUAGCCGUGGUAGCUAAUUCUGUGGUUGGCAUGUAGCCACGGCUAUCGCGACGCAACACAAUAAUUGACUAAUGUUUACCAGCUGUGCCGUGCUUAUCAUAUUAAACAGUGCUCUACUGGUUGAAGUAGUGAGAGUUACUUAAGAAGUGGGUCAAGUCUUCGAAUUGUUGCUAACCUCUAGCUAUAUUGCUAUGUUUUCUCCAGGUUAUUUUGAAUGGACAGCUUUGUCGCUGAUAAGCUAACUGACUGGCGGCUGUCUGAGCUGACAGAGAAUUUUAGAGGCCAUCCACAAACAUAAAAGAGGCCCUGGCGCUAUCAUUGGUUCAGACAUUCCCUGAAUGAUGGAUCAGAAAUUGGCUAUUUCCAGAGACUCCAGAAUGAAAACCAAGCUCUGAGGGAGGAGAACCACACCCUGAGGGAAAGCAAUGCACGAGCAGCUUCGGAUGACAGCGGCUCACUUCAAGAGCAGGUGAAGCAAGUUGGGACAAUGUUGAAGACGUUUGCUUGCACUUGGCAAUCAGGUGCAGAUCAGACCCUAAUGCUGCGACGUCUUGGAGAGUUUAGCGAUGUUGUGCGUAGCAUGGACAACAAAAUGGAAACUAUGCAGCAACAUUUCAGUGCCAAUGUGUCUGUUGGAGAGCCACUGAUGAGGCGGUCCAGGUUAACGUUACGCGUUACCUGAAAGCAUCUGACCGUGAAGGCGGAAAAAGGCGCCGCACAGCUGA
This is a long non-coding RNA of Perca fluviatilis (European perch), 785 nucleotides long. RefSeq lists it as uncharacterized. Lineage: Eukaryota; Metazoa; Chordata; Actinopteri; Perciformes; Percidae. The record is from RefSeq and is a predicted model, not a curated record. The transcript has 5 exons.